Long non-coding RNA from Felis catus (domestic cat), 2436 nucleotides. RefSeq lists it as uncharacterized. The record is from RefSeq and is a predicted model, not a curated record. Lineage: Eukaryota; Metazoa; Chordata; Mammalia; Carnivora; Felidae. The transcript is spliced from 3 exons.
UUAUUUUCCAACUUUGAACUUCAGUUUUUAAAAUGGAACAAGUCAGGCGAGACUUGCUGUAAUUGAUGGAAGUCGAUGAAAAUACCACUCAGAUUUAAUGCUUAAUCGUAUACUCUUAUGUCGUUUCCUGUGUAUCCAUCUCAUCUUGACAGCCAGCUCUUCAAGCAGGGGGACAGUGUCACAGUCCACAGGAAAGAGCAUAAGGUUCAGAAGUAGAGGCCCUGCGUCCCAGGCCCAGCUUUGCAACCUACCGGCCUGUGCGACCUUGGAUGAACAAGCUGACUCCCGGUGGAGCGAAAGAAGCUUGAACCAGCAAAAUUAGUAUGUGGUCGCAAUGGAGUCGCACUCACAGCUCCUACCGGCUUGACUCCUAAACUGUGUUUCUGUUCUGGAGAUUCUGAAAGCCAUAAAAUCAGCUGACCUCAUCCACUAUCAGAGCCAGGAGAAGCUUGGAUCGUGAGAACAAACCUCGCAGUAUUCAAAGUGGGAUUGCAUAUGCGGCGAAAGAAAUUUUUAGAGCGAAACGGAGUUCAAUUUCUAUGGAGCCUAGCUUUGUUUUCUUUGUUUGACUAAAACCUCAAGUAAGAGAGGGGAAUGCAGUGGGAAUAAUUAGCCACAACGGGUGGUAUAAAUCCAAGGAGAAAAAUAAUUCAUCAACUUUAAAGCAACUCAUUUAAAACUGGAAGCCAGUAUCCAUUCAUCCAGCAGAUUAGGCCUCCCUUGCAAGUGGAAUCCCUCCAGGCCCUGGAUGACUCAAGGCCCGAGUGUCCCUCUCCUCAUCCACCAGGAGACUUCUGUGACUUACUCUGGUGAGAGACUCACGACCAAUAAAUCCAUCAUGCCACUCCUCUCUGUUAUUCUUGGUUACCAUCCAAGAUCCUUUAACUUCCUCUCCUCUUUAUAGCUGUCUGCUCCAACUCCCCAACCCACCUUCCCACUGCUCUGCUUUCCAAUCCUUCCAUGGUCCCAUAGGAAGCAAGUUCUCUGCAUCUGCAACCUUUAAGAUUCCCUCUAUUUCCAUUCCUUAACUGAGACCAGGCUCUCCCCAAAGGAUGCUGCUUCUCUUGGUAGCUGUCUCAAAGGGAUAAUUCUCAUUUUCUGACUCCACACAUGCCCCUAGGGGAAAGAAAAGCCUUGCUUCCUUCCAGCCUUUGCCAUAAGGCUCUCCCCUCUGGUUAUAUCACUAGCUGUCCUCUGGACAAAAACCUUCGUUCAGUGAAGACACUGGUGUGGGACUCAUCCUCCUAAUUUCCACUCUAGGCCUGGCUCAUCUCUGAGACCUUUACUCUCUCUCUCAUCGGCCACCCUUUCCAUAAGCACACCAUGUACCCUAUUGCACCCCACAACUGUUCCAUCCCAGAAAGAAUAAGUGUAGACGUUCCACUGUCGACCAGGCCUCUUAAUUUCACACCGAGCUCAUGCAGUUACUCCUAUUCCACACAUUCCUUGAUCAGAUGGUCUUGCUGUUAUUGUCCUUCCUUGAGUCUCUUGAAGCCCAGCUCUUCCCCUACCCACUGGUCACUCCAUUUCCCACCCAGCUUAGACUAAAUGGUUCACUCUUUCCAUAUUUCUCUUGGCAGUUAGCUUCCUUGCCCCCUUUUCUUUUUUCUGUUAUGCCCACUCUAAAAACCCCUGGAUCACUCAAGUGUCUGACUUCAACUUGCGUAGACCAGAACUGCUACAUUGCUAAAGAAAAUAGCAUUAUCACAGAGGCUGGCACACUCUAUACCUAGGCUUUUCAGCCCUGUGAUUCAUUGAACUGAUGAUUUCAAAACUUUUUCAUCCUUCUCAGUGACCUACAGCACCCCACGUUUCAGGCUGUCACCUCCUACUGCUCUCUUGCCUAGACCUGUCCAGCCACUUGGACCUCCUUGCUGAAUCUUGAACAUGUCCGUGAUGGUCGGUUUAUGUGUCAACUUGACUCCGCUGUCAUUCCCAGUUAUCCAAUCAAACGCCAAUCCAAGUGUUGCUGUGACGGUAUUUCGUAGAUGUGAUUAAAACUCAUAAUCAGCUGACUUGAGCUAAGGGAAAUUGUCUUAGAUACUCUGGUCGGACUCGAUUUGGCGAAAUCUUACAGCAGAAGGCUGUAACAGCAGAACUUUUGUGGCCGCAGCUUUAGCUCAUACCUGAAAGUUCCGGCCUCCCUUUCUGACAGCCUGCCCUACAGAUUUAGGACUUGGCUAGCCAACUUCCACGGUCACAGAAGCCAAUUCCCUGGAAUAAAUCUCUUAGCAUAUAUCUGAUUCUGUUGGUUCUGUUUUUGGGUUGAACCCUGGUGUGGAUUUCCUCGCCCUGAAAGUAGAGCAGCGCUCUACUAAUACCUAAUACCUAAAAAUGUGGAAGUGGUUUUGGAAUUGGGCAGUAGGCAGAAGCUGGAAGAGUUUUGAAGGUCAUGUGAGAAAAAGCCUCGAUUGCCUUCAAUAGAUUUUUAGUAGA